GGGAUAAUAGUAUAGUGGUCAGAAUUUCUCGUUGUGGCUCCCCGAAAAGCAACAUCCGAGAGGACCCAGGUUCGAUUCCUGGUUAUCCCA
Lasiosphaeria ovina is the source of this 90-nucleotide non-coding RNA. NCBI's taxonomy places the organism in Eukaryota, Fungi, Ascomycota, Sordariomycetes, Sordariales, Lasiosphaeriaceae. The record is from the annotation of a GenBank genome assembly.